AUACCCUUUUGAACAAUGAGAUCUGAAAUGCUAAAGAUAAAGCAGCCAUCUGCUGGCCAUGAGAAGAGAGGCAAUAGGAAAAAAACUACACUCUAAAGAUGAAGCUGUGUUACCUGUAAUCUCUAGUACUGCUCUGCCCCCUUGUGCUGCUGCAGUGAACUCGACAGAGGAACAGUGUGCCUUCGUCUUUGUACAUGAACUACAGAAAAACCCCACUGUCACUUCUCACUUUUCUACUGUAUUACAGGAACCGUUACAUAAAUGGAGAAAGUGAAAAUCAAUCCUAGCUGACAGUGACUUCAGGAUAAUCAGCGCUCACUGGAUACCUCUGUCAGUUCGCCUGCAUCAAACACCGUGUGACUUCUGUCAGAUCUUUUUAAUAAAACUAUAUUCUCAUUUUCAGCAACCUAA
Molecule: non-coding RNA, 411 nt
Filed under: Pongo abelii (Sumatran orangutan)
Lineage: Eukaryota; Metazoa; Chordata; Mammalia; Primates; Hominidae
Source: RNAcentral